UUCAUUCGGUAGGUAAGGCUACCAUAGGGAUACGGGUUGCUGCCGCAAAGUGGUGGAGACACUAUACGCAGGCCAACAGGUGACAUCGAAGUAAGGUGUUACUUAGUGCAAUUUCAUUGCCCUGUGAUGCUAAAGCUUGAACGAUUGU
Molecule: small RNA, 148 nt
Filed under: bovine gut metagenome
Description: M-box riboswitch (ykoK leader)
Rfam family: M-box riboswitch aptamer (ykoK leader)
About the family: M-box riboswitch, also know as ykoK leader is described as a metaloregulatory RNA that sense divalent metals and function as a genetic control element of genes related to divalent metal transport in bacteria. It was first reported upstream of the B.subtilis ykoK gene and genes with related functions in other bacteria. Phylogenetic analysis of the distribution of M-box RNAs across bacterial genomes revealed that M-box riboswitches are most often employed for the regulation of Mg2+ transporter genes
Source: RNAcentral